GCUCCAUUUUCACUGAUGAGCAAAAGAGGUUACCCAGAGGAUAGCUUUGCAAUUGUUGCUCUUCCCAAGACUCAUACUCGCUUGAAGGAGGGACAGGUUAUUUUUUCCAUGUCCUUCUGCACUGCCUUGGUUAGCCUAGCUCACAAAACCAGGAACCAGACCAAGGCAGGGCCAUUCUGUGUGACACGGCUGUGCUUAGGCCUCGCGCUCCCUGGCAGCCAUUCCUGUUGGGGUGCCAGUAAGCAGGCCCCUCACGGGCCUUGCCACCAGGCUGCCUGCAUGCAAGGUGUCUUCUUGUAAGUGGAAGAUUAACCACUCACUCUGUGUACUCAGGGUUAACUUCAAAGCCCUCUGAAACCGAUGGGGAUUUUUCUGCCUGCUUCAAAGGGCUCUGGAUCAUGAACAUGCAGCAUGGGCUGCAGCAGUUAAUUUUUAAACUCUCAUUAUUUGAAAACUUCUUGUAAAGUUUACUGGAGCGUAUGGCUGGGGCAGAGCUUGCCAAAACAAUUGACAAGGCACAGCUAGGGAUUUCUUUCUAUUUAUCCUUUUCUGCCACAAAUGUGCCUUUUAAUCAGUCCUUGUAAUCAUUUACCCGUGUUUCCAACUGUCCUGCACAUUUAAUACUCAUUUUUUCCUCUUGUGAUAGCCCAUGCAAAGACUCGUGGGGCCCAGUGAUAUUCUGAAACACUUAGGGCUUCUUUGAGCUGGCCUAAAUUCCUUGGCUGGUCUGAGGUGCUCUCCAUCCCCCACUGAACAUCCCAGCUCCAAGCAUAAUUAAAGAUGAAAAAAGAAAGAAUUUGAAAAGUAGUUUCUAAAGCACUGAAGAAAUAGCUGAAUACAAACUAUUCCCUACUCAGAGCUGUCACUCUUUACCAGAUACCAACAAGCAUAAUUUCCAUAGUGAUGAACUCCAAAAAAUGAGGCACUAACCACCCCCAGAAUGCUGUCCAUUCGCUGCUGUGCCAUGUAUGUAUGUCGUUGUUCCCUGCAAUCCUUAAGAAAUUAGACUGCAUCAAAUUCAGUGGGAAGAUAUGUGAAGUAGUCCUCUGGAGAUGAUCAGUGUCCCUCUGCUGUUGUGGAGGAGAGCAGGUGAUGGAAGAGCUGAAACUCAUCAGAGACGGAUGACCUUUCUUAGAGAUACACCAGAACUCCUCACGGAGCUAGGAGCUGCAUGCAGACACUCCAGGGAAACUGGAUAUGAGUCACAAGCAGAAUAUACCCAUGGCUCCUGGGAAUGGCAGUGUACCAGCCUGGGGGAAACCCAGUGAAUCUGGGGGAAUGGCAGUGAACCAGUGCUGGGGACAGGUGUCUCCCUCUACUACCUCAGCAGCCUCUGAUGGCUUUCUCCUGGAGAUGGGGAUUGGAUAAUGUGGUAACACAGUAUGGUGAUGCAGGCUUAAUCCAUGGUCUGCAGUUGAGCUGUUUGCAACAGGUUGAUCAGGCUCGAUUUAUACAGCAAUAAGCCUCUGAUCUCUGCUCUCAAAGCUGAAGUGAUAAGAAGUUGUCUGUGGUAGACUUUUUAAUUUAGAAGUCUGAGCAAAUUGCUUUGGCUGCUGUGGAAUUGAAUAAGGGACACCCAACCAUAGCAUUUAAAACAAAAUGCAAAAACAAUCCAUGCUUCAAUGCACUGUAAAUCAAAGCAAAUCAAAUCAGAACUGGGCUAAGGCUGAAGUUGUAUAAUUCCAGAAGUUGGCAGACAUAUACUCUUCAUGGAGAAGGGUGUGCAUCACUUGGCUUCAGGGUGAAAAAAACAACCCUCAGUAACAUUUAAGUAAUAGUAGAAGCACAAAUUAUGAGAGACUGAGAAUUAAUCAUUUCCAGGAUUGCUGCAAGGACAUGUGCUAAGGUUUUUAGCAGAGACUGAUGGGAUUCCUCUCCAUGUUGACACGCAUGGUGUGGUCUGGAAAAGAUUUGAAGAGAUGCUAUUUCAAGCUAGGGGUCUUUGGCUGAAGAAAUUAGUAGGAGGGAGUUCAAAAUUGUCUGAUUGGCAAGCAACAGCCAAAUUCUCAACAAAGGAAACAAAACUCAAGAAACAACAGUCUGCAGUCCUCUUUGUAAUCUGAAGGAAGAAGAGGUGAAAACUGAAAAGAUGAAACAAGAACAGAGGAUUGACACAGAGAGGCUUACAAAAUAGCUUGAGAUGGAAGGCCUGGAAAUUUGAAUUCAAAACUCUGCUUGACAUUCCCAAGAAAAGGCAUUAAUGCAUAAAUAUAACCUUGCUGCAAAAGGAUGUGCGCCUGUGAGCUGUGAAUACCCCCACAGCUUCGUUGAACUCCAGAGGAUUCUCCAGGAACACAAGCCACGGAGCCCAAGAAACGAGAUAUCCCUUUAUUGUUCAUGAUAGUGGAACUGCAGGAACAAGGACUAAAUGAAGAGGAGAGAGGACUCUGAGCUUACCUCUUUAACUGGUCUUCCUCUGCUCCAUCCUCAGACAGCUUCAAGGUUUCAACAGAAAUUCACACCUUUAAGUCUUCCCUAGUGGCUUGUACAGCAGACUCACUAGCAGGGAUACUUGCUCAAUGCGAUAAGAUCCAUUAACUUUUUCCAAGUGUACAUGUUAUCGAGAGAGAGAGUCAUUCAAAUGUGCGCUUCUUUCCUGGGUAAGUCUUGUGAAGUCUGCUCUAAGUAGUUACAACAAGGAACAAGAAGUGAAAGCCACCUCUGUGACAGACUGAGCCUCCAGGUCGUUAUCGGGAGGUAUGAAACAUUUCAGUGAUUUCUGUGUGUCUUGAUGCUCUGUACACAUGUGGAAGAACUAAGGAAAAUUCAGUUUAAUGCUUGAAGAAGCCAGGACACCUGUGGAAAUUACAUAUUAACCAAACUCCAGAAAGUGCCAAUUCUACCUGUCAGUGACUAAAUAAGCUGAUGAAGCUCUCAUCAGCUUCACAGAAGUUAGAUAGAUUGUGUAAGGUUGGUGUUGGAGGAAAACAGCUUAGACAUUCAGCUAGUCACUCUGAAGUUAUCAUCCUGCUAUUUUAUGACAAAAAAGAAAAAAGUUAUAGAUUUUAAUGUUAAAAUGAAAAAUGUAAUUGUUGUAAACUAUAGAGAUUUCCAUUUAGAAGAGCAUAAUCAUCAUGUUGUUUUCUAACUAAUAUUCUGCCUUUUUUUCAGAGCAAAAAAAAAAAAAAUCAAAUGCAUACUACAGUAGUAUUUACAAAUACUGAAAUGAAUCAUAGAAUCAUAAAACCAUAGAACAUCCCAAGUUGGAAGGGACCCACAAGGAUCAUGGAGUCCAACCCCAGACUCCACACAGCACCACCCCAAAUCAAACCCUAUGUCUGAGUGUUGAACUCCGGCACUCGGGGCCGUGCCCACAGCCCUGGGCAGCCCGUUCCAUGCCCACCGCCCUGUGGUGCAGCCCCUGUCCCUAACCCCCAGCUGCCCCUCCCCUGACACAGCUCCAUGCCGUUCCCUCGGGCCCUGUCGCUGUCACACAGAGCAGAGCUCAGCGCUGCCCCUCCGCUCCCUGUGAGGAGCUGCAGCCGCCAUCAGGCCUCCCCUCAGCUCCUCUGCUCUGCGCUGAGCACACACAGGGGCCUCAGCCGCUCCUCACACGUUUUGCCUUCUGGACCUUUCACCAUCAGUGUAGCCCUCCUUUGGAAGCUCUCUAACAGUUUUGUGUCCUUUAUAUACUGUGGUGUCCCAAACUGCACACGCUGUUAAUGUAAGCCCCCAACUCACAACUAGGAUUUCUCUGCUUUUUUGUUGUUGUUUGCUUGUUUCUUUGUGUGCUUCUUUGCAUCCUAAUUAUGACAGGUUAAGUUAAACACAUAUCAGUGAGUUAAGCAUGCACCCAUACCAAGAGAUGAAGCAUAUGUAAGUUUUGACUUUCCCACAGACCAUUACAUUUAAAAAAAAAAAAAAAAAAAGGAAUCAGUGAACAGAUCAUGAAGUACCUGACACAAUGCAGAGGCAUUGGUAACUAACAGAUGCACAGCGACAACUGACAACUUUAGGGCAUGCACAUCCUUAAUGGCUAAUGAACUUCUCAGGAGGAUGUGAACAAGGAAGAAUUCACCAAGUUCCUCCUCUGGUUCUUCCCUUUGCUCUUGCCACCAACAUGCUUCCCAGCAGCACAGGGGCAGCUGGGUGCAGAUCAAUCCCUGAAUGCAGAAACAAGGUGGCCAUUGCUGAGCACACGAGUCCCUGCCUGCUGGAGGUGAGUCACGGCAGGGAGGCACACCUUUCUCUUUAUCAGCUAUUCUUACCCUGCUGGGCCUGAAACGUUCAUUACAGCUUAUGUUUGGUUGGUUUGGUUCAUUUUUUUUUUCAUAGAAAAUAGUACAAAUGAGCAAAGCAACUUGUGGAAAACAUCUUCCAUCUUUAUAAAGAAAUUAGAAAAUAUUCAGGAUACUGAAAGCCUAAAGAAUUAAUUAUGUUGACUGAAAGCAACUGGAAUUUGAGAGAAACUACUUCUACUUUAAAGUAGAAAAGAUUUUUUUUGUAUGUUCUCUCACACAGACGGCAAGUGUAUUUACUAAAUGCUGUAGAAAAGAAACAAAUAUGGAAAAAAGUAGCAUGGAGUCAAAAGGAAUUCACCUAAAAAAGAAGAACUAUAACCACUGUAUGUGUGCCCACCUCCAUUAAACAUGUGCCCUUUUGCAGAAACCUGCACAGGAUUGUCCAGGGAAUUGAUGUAGCCUGUAGUUAAUCAUUGAUCAUCUUCCAAAGUAAAACUGCAAGUCACGUGACUUGGUGAGUAGCAUAUAGGAGAAGAAUGUAAUAAGUCAAUAUUUAGCCACUAGAUUAUUAUUUCCAGUUGUAUGAUGUAGAGCAAACAGUACGGUGUACGAACACCCAUUUCCUUAAUAAGAAAAUAAGGUAGUAAUGCCAACAAAAGAUUAUUUCUAUUACAGAACAGUAACGUGGCCAUAGGUUUUUUUGUACUUUAGCUUCACUUAUUAAACAAAGAUUCUUCCAUCACUGCAUAGCUUAGGUAUUGCCUUUGUUUGCUGUACAGUUUGUGUACUGCUAUUGAAAGGUGUUGGAAAUAACCUGUUGAGGAGUUGCCUAUGAAGAAAGAGGAGAGAUGACUGUAAAACAACCUUCAAGCAUACUAAAAUCAGUGCUUUGAAAAUGUUCAGGGUACUUUAUGUUGGAGUGUUUCCCCUUAAAUGCAUUUUCCAAUAUACAACCCAUGUGCUUUAAAAAGUUGCUUGCUGUUAUCAUGAGAAGAGACUUAAUGAUGAUCUCAUUGCAUGAUUUGUAAUUAUAAAUGUAACUACAGAUGCUCCAUUUUCUGAGGAUCCUCCUGAGAAUCAAAACACCAAGAACUUGAUCGUAGCACCUGCACCCAACCACAGCCUUGGAAAUAUGUGUCAUUAUGUAAUCAACAUGAGCAAACCAUUGAGUCAAAAUUGGGAACACCCAAAUUGGCUGUGCACAUUCUGAUGGAAAGACAAGAAGCACCAGUACUGAGGCAUUAUAAAACAUACAGAAUCUAUUUUUUUUUAAUCAAAAUAAAAUGAUAAAAAAUGUAUGAUCAAUGUAAGUGACUUCAGUUGUAAUGUAAUUUCUUUAUCAGUGGUAUGUAACUUUAGUUACAUUGUGGUGCACAAGCAGGUUUCUUGCUUUGUAGAGUAAGCGUUCUGAUGUAAUGUAAUUGAAAUAAUAAACUCUUUCAAGAACACUA
This is a long non-coding RNA of Gallus gallus (chicken), 5632 nucleotides long. RefSeq lists it as uncharacterized. The transcript has 4 exons. The record is from RefSeq and is a predicted model, not a curated record. Lineage: Eukaryota; Metazoa; Chordata; Aves; Galliformes; Phasianidae.